UGUUGUUGUUGAUGUGUUGUUGAGUUGAGGGAGGGGUCUUGAUGUGAAGAAGCCCUUAUAAGCAGGUCCACUUCCCCAGGACUCCAGGUUCAGGCUGGGACAGAAGAAGAAGAUCCUCUGUGUCUAGGUUUGAAUGAAUGACUUUAGUCAUGUGAUCAGAUGAGAACUGUUCUGACUUUAAAUGUCCGUCUCUGUAUCCAGUGGAAACCAUGGUCUCCAUCAUGGGAAUGCUGGCCGUGUGUGUGCUGGUCUGUGCUGUGAUGGUUCAGAUCAAAGCUGCUGCUGUCCAGGACGCUGAUGUAAAGAAGUCUGAAGCUACAAGCGAUCUGGUGAAGCGUUCGGGGCGUUGUGGUGACAACUGGUCACAGAUCAAUAAUCGCUGCUUCCGCUUCUUUCCUAGAGUCAAGAGAUGGGCUGAAGCUGAA
Oryzias melastigma (Indian medaka) is the source of this 425-nucleotide long non-coding RNA. RefSeq lists it as uncharacterized. The record is from RefSeq and is a predicted model, not a curated record. Lineage: Eukaryota; Metazoa; Chordata; Actinopteri; Beloniformes; Adrianichthyidae. The transcript is spliced from 3 exons.